RNAcentral lists this ribosomal RNA (661 nucleotides) under Escherichia coli. Its description in RNAcentral is "partial 23S ribosomal RNA". It matches the Rfam family "Bacterial large subunit ribosomal RNA", at positions 474 to 1135 of the family's 2925-position model. RNAcentral also lists the same sequence under 1 other name. The record is from RNAcentral. Lineage: Bacteria; Pseudomonadati; Pseudomonadota; Gammaproteobacteria; Enterobacterales; Enterobacteriaceae.
UCCUGACUGACCGAUAGUGAACCAGUACCGUGAGGGAAAGGCGAAAAGAACCCCGGCGAGGGGAGUGAAAAAGAACCUGAAACCGUGUACGUACAAGCAGUGGGAGCACGCUUAGGCGUGUGACUGCGUACCUUUUGUAUAAUGGGUCAGCGACUUAUAUUCUGUAGCAAGGUUAACCGAAUAGGGGAGCCGAAGGGAAACCGAGUCUUAACUGGGCGUUAAGUUGCAGGGUAUAGACCCGAAACCCGGUGAUCUAGCCAUGGGCAGGUUGAAGGUUGGGUAACACUAACUGGAGGACCGAACCGACUAAUGUUGAAAAAUUAGCGGAUGACUUGUGGCUGGGGGUGAAAGGCCAAUCAAACCGGGAGAUAGCUGGUUCUCCCCGAAAGCUAUUUAGGUAGCGCCUCGUGAAUUCAUCUCCGGGGGUAGAGCACUGUUUCGGCAAGGGGGUCAUCCCGACUUACCAACCCGAUGCAAACUGCGAAUACCGGAGAAUGUUAUCACGGGAGACACACGGCGGGUGCUAACGUCCGUCGUGAAGAGGGAAACAACCCAGACCGCCAGCUAAGGUCCCAAAGUCAUGGUUAAGUGGGAAACGAUGUGGGAAGGCCCAGACAGCCAGGAUGUUGGCUUAGAAGCAGCCAUCAUUUAAAGAAAGCGU